AGUGUUUGUGGACGGUAAGGUGCCCGAAGCGGCUUAAAAGGGAAUCUGGUGCAAAUCCGGAGCUGUCCCCGCAACUGUGAGUGCUACGAACGGAACGAUUUGCCACUGUACAUCCUCUACUUCUUGAGAAAUGUAUGGGAAGGCUUCUAAGUAGGUAAAGCACGAGUCAGGAGACCUGCCUUACUUCCACAAGUUUC
This 197-nucleotide non-coding RNA is filed under the name Halalkalibacterium halodurans. Lineage: Bacteria; Bacillati; Bacillota; Bacilli; Caryophanales; Bacillaceae. The record is from RNAcentral. RNAcentral also lists the same sequence under 1 other name.